AACGUACGCUGGCGGCAUGCCUAACACAUGCAAGUCGAACGAGACCUUCGGGUCUAGUGGCGCACGGGUGCGUAACGCGUGGGAACCUGCCCUUAGGUUCGGGAUAACUCCCCGAAAGGGGUGCUAAUACCGGAUAAUGUCUUCGGACCAAAGAUUUAUCGCCUUUGGAUGGGCCCGCGUUGGAUUAGCUAGUUGGUAGGGUAAAAGCCUACCAAGGCGACGAUCCAUAGCUGGUCUGAGAGGAUGAUCAGCCACACUGGGACUGAGACACGGCCCAGACUCCUACGGGAGGCAGCAGUGGGGAAUAUUGGACAAUGGGCGAAAGCCUGAUCCAGCAAUGCCGCGUGAGUGAUGAAGGCCUUAGGGUUGUAAAGCUCUUUUACCCGGGAUGAUAAUGACAGUACCGGGAGAAUAAGCUCCGGCUAACUCCGUG
Molecule: ribosomal RNA, 433 nt
Filed under: uncultured bacterium
Lineage: Bacteria
Description: partial 16S ribosomal RNA
Rfam family: Bacterial small subunit ribosomal RNA
Source: RNAcentral